ACUAUUUUGGCAGAUUUAAGUGCAACAGAUUUAGAAUCUGUUAAUAUGAUUAAUUAUCAUAGAUAGUA
RNAcentral lists this transfer RNA (68 nucleotides) under Statilia maculata. RNAcentral describes it as "tRNA-Leu". The record is from RNAcentral. RNAcentral also lists the same sequence under 3 other names. Lineage: Eukaryota; Metazoa; Arthropoda; Insecta; Mantodea; Mantidae.